GGAAACGACCCAACAAGUAGUAUUGCACCACUGACAUGGAGGAUGAAAAAACCAUAGAAAAAGUUGAUGUAGCACUUGAUACCUGAGGAGGAAUUCCCAAUUCUAGAAACAAUGGUCCCAAAAUGAACCCGCCUCCUAGACCAAGCAGUCCACCAACCAUACCAGCCAUUAUUCCAGUGGAACAGUAGAGACAGAUCUGAUGAAUCUUCCAAUGGGUUAUUUCCUUUCCCUUUGAUGCAAUCACUCUAGUUCCUUUGUACAAGCCUAUGGCUUCAAAAAGUGUAACGGAGACUGCAAU
Molecule: small RNA, 298 nt
Filed under: Vigna angularis var. angularis
Lineage: Eukaryota; Viridiplantae; Streptophyta; Magnoliopsida; Fabales; Fabaceae
Description: Non-protein coding transcript
Source: RNAcentral